CAGCAGACACAUUCCAGCCAAUCAGCAGCAGACUCUCCCUCCCAGAUUCUCCCACACCUCCCACCUCCUGGACAGCAUCCAUUUUGAAGCUGCAUUCUUAGUGAGCUGUCCAGGAGGUGGGAGGGUCUGGGAGGGAGGGUCUGCUGCUGAUUGGCUGGAAUGUGUCUACUG
Non-coding RNA from Pelobates cultripes (western spadefoot toad), 171 nucleotides. The record is from the annotation of a GenBank genome assembly. NCBI's taxonomy places the organism in Eukaryota, Metazoa, Chordata, Amphibia, Anura, Pelobatidae.